AGCGAACAUUGGCGGUAGGCUUAACACAUGCAAGUCGAGCGAGGCGUAAUAGUCGAGCGGCGAACGGGUGAGUAAUACAUGGAAGUCUACCCUGAAGUGGGGGAUAACGUCCAGAAAUGGACGCUAAUACCGCAUAAUCCAUAUUGGGAAAGCGUUGCAGCGCUUUAGGAUGAGUCCAUGGCUGAUUAGCUAGUUGGUGAGGUAAAGGCUCACCAAGGCGACGAUCAGUUGCUGGUCUGAGAGGAUGACCAGCCACACUGGGACUGAGACACCCUCCAGACGCCUACGGGAGGCAGCAGUGGGGAAUCUUGCGCAAUGGGGGCAACCCUGACGCAGCGAUACCGCGUGAGUGAUGAAGGUCUUCGGAUUGUAAAGCUCUUUCGGCGGGGACGACGAUGACGGUACCCGCAAAAGAAGUGACGGCUAACCUCGUGCCAGCCGCCGCCGUAA
RNAcentral lists this ribosomal RNA (450 nucleotides) under uncultured bacterium. RNAcentral's name for it is "partial 16S ribosomal RNA". It matches the Rfam family "Bacterial small subunit ribosomal RNA", at positions 29 to 523 of the family's 1533-position model. The record is from RNAcentral.